CGACUCGAGCGCCAGCGAGAGAACGUUGCCACAGGCAACGGCCCGAAGGGCGAGGCGCUUUAGCGCCGAGUAAUCCUUCCCCCACCACCA
This 90-nucleotide small RNA is filed under the name Klebsiella pneumoniae. RNAcentral describes it as "partial RtT sRNA". It matches the Rfam family "RtT RNA", at positions 44 to 130 of the family's 130-position model. From Rfam's summary of the family: This family represents a bacterial cis-regulatory element known as RtT RNA. The exact function of RtT is unknown although it is thought that it may be involved in changing the cellular response in relation to amino acid starvation. Lineage: Bacteria; Pseudomonadati; Pseudomonadota; Gammaproteobacteria; Enterobacterales; Enterobacteriaceae. RNAcentral also lists the same sequence under 1 other name. The record is from RNAcentral.